AGCUCAGUUGGAAGAGCAGAGGACUGAAAU
RNAcentral lists this transfer RNA (30 nucleotides) under Camchaya spinulifera. RNAcentral describes it as "partial tRNA-Phe". The record is from RNAcentral. Lineage: Eukaryota; Viridiplantae; Streptophyta; Magnoliopsida; Asterales; Asteraceae.